AACAGGAUUAGAUACCCUGGUAGUCCACGCUGUAAACGAUGUCGACUUGGAGGUUGUGCCCUUGAGGCGUGGCUUCCGGAGCUAACGCGUUAAGUCGACCGCCUGGGGAGUACGGCCGCAAGGUUAAAACUCAAAUGAAUUGACGGGGGCCCGCACAAGCGGUGGAGCAUGUGGUUUAAUUCGAUGCAACGCGAAGAACCUUACCUACUCUUGACAUCCAGAGAAUUUGCUAGAGAUAGCUUAGUGCCUUCGGGAACUCUGAGACAGGUGCUGCAUGGCUGUCGUCAGCUCGUGUUGUGAAAUGUUGGGUUAAGUCCCGCAACGAGCGCAACCCUUAUCCUUUGUUACCAGCACGUAAUGGUGGGAGCUCAAAGGAGACUGCCGGUGAUAAACCGGAGGAAGGUGGGGAUGACGUCAAGUCAUCAUGGCCCUUACGAGUAGGGCUACACACGUGCUACAAUGGCAUAUACAAAGAGAAGCGAACUCGCGAGAGCAAGCGGACCUCAUAAAGUAUGUCGUAGUCCGGAUUGGAGUCUGCAACUCGACUCCAUGAAGUCGGAAUCGCUAGUAAUCGUAGAUCAGAAUGCUACGGUGAAUACGUUCCCGGGCCUUGUACACACCGCCCGUCACACCAUGGGAGUGGGUUGCAAAAGAAGUAGGUAGCUUAACCUUCGGGAGGGCGCUUACCACUUUGUGAUUCAUGACUGGGGUGAAGUCGUAACAAGGUAACC
This 731-nucleotide ribosomal RNA is filed under the name uncultured bacterium. RNAcentral describes it as "bacterial SSU rRNA". It matches the Rfam family "Bacterial small subunit ribosomal RNA", at positions 771 to 1501 of the family's 1533-position model. The record is from RNAcentral.